CAGCCGUAAACAAUGUGCGUUAGGUGUGUCGGUAACCACGUGUUACUGAUGCGCCGAAGAGAAAUCGUGAAACGCACCACCUGGGAAGUACGGUCGCAAGGCUGAACUUAAGGAUUGGCGGGGGAGCACCACAACAGGUGGAGCCUGCGGUUUAAUUGGAUUCAACGCCGGACAUCUCACCGGAUAAGACAGCUGAAUGAUUGUCAAUCUGAAGGUUUUACAUGACUAGCUGAGAGGAGGUGCAUGGCGUCAGUGACU
This 258-nucleotide ribosomal RNA is filed under the name uncultured archaeon. RNAcentral describes it as "partial 16S ribosomal RNA". It matches the Rfam family "Archaeal small subunit ribosomal RNA", at positions 748 to 1008 of the family's 1478-position model. The record is from RNAcentral.